UGCUUUCACUACUGUAAGUCGGUCUGGAUAAGAGCGUCUGCUAAAAUGACUAAAA
This is a non-coding RNA of Salmo salar (Atlantic salmon), 55 nucleotides long. Lineage: Eukaryota; Metazoa; Chordata; Actinopteri; Salmoniformes; Salmonidae. The record is from Rfam.